GAUGAACGCUCGCGGCGCGCCUAAUACACGCAAGUCGAGCGAACAGAUGAGGAGCUUGCUCCUCUGACGUUAGCGGCGGACGGGUGAGUAACACGUGGAUAACCUACCUAUAAGACUGGGAUAACCUCGGGAAACCGGAGCUAAUACCGGAUAAUAUAUUGAACCGCAUGGUUCAAUAGUGAAUGACGGUUUUGCUGUCACUUAUAGAUGGAUCCGCGCCGCAUUAGCUAGUUGGUAAGGUAACGGCUUACCAAGGCAACGAUGCGUAGCCGACCUGAGAGGGUGAUCGGCCACACUGGAACUGGGCCACGGUCCAGACUCCUACGGGAGGCAGCAGUAGGGAAUCUUCCGCAAUGGGCGAAAGCCUGACGGAGCAACGCCGCGUGAGUGAUGAAGGUCUUCGGAUCGUAAAGCUCUGUUAUUAGGGAAGAACAAAUGUGUAAGUAACUAUGCACGUCUUGACGGUACCUAAUCAGAAAGCCACGGCUAACUACGUG
This 497-nucleotide ribosomal RNA is filed under the name uncultured bacterium. Its description in RNAcentral is "partial 16S ribosomal RNA". It matches the Rfam family "Bacterial small subunit ribosomal RNA", at positions 28 to 507 of the family's 1533-position model. The record is from RNAcentral.